AAAGUCGUAACAAGGUAACCGUAGGUGAACCUGCGGUUGGAUCAUUACUAUAUAUAUUCGUUCGUUCAACCAAAAGAAGAAUGUUCGGAAGCCAUGGCCCUACGGGUAUAUGUUAAAUGGGGUCUCCAUUGCACCGGUGCCUGGAAAUAUCGUUCCCAGCUUCUGUGGAAUGUUGCCUAUUUAACAUUGUCCUAGGGCUUCUGGUGACAUUAUGUGAACUGUAUUGUCUCUGGCGGGGGGGGUGGAGUAUAAGUUAUUUACUCUAUCUGUCAGCUUGACGCUAAUAUUUUGUCAAGCCGUGGACAUCCCGUCAAACUCUUGUUAAACCUAUUGUCUUUUUUUUUAUGUCUGACAUUUUUUGUAUGAAAUAUUACAAACAACUUUUGGCAACGGAUCUCUUGGCUCUC
This 407-nucleotide unclassified non-coding RNA is filed under the name Chytridiomycota sp. RNAcentral's name for it is "partial contains small subunit ribosomal RNA, internal transcribed spacer 1, and 5.8S ribosomal RNA". The stretch from base 1 to 47 matches the Rfam family "Eukaryotic small subunit ribosomal RNA", at positions 1785 to 1831 of the family's 1831-position model. The record is from RNAcentral. Lineage: Eukaryota; Fungi; Chytridiomycota.